ACGCUGGCGGCGUGCCUAACACAUGCAAGUCAAGGAGAAUUCCCGACUUGUCGGGAUAGUAAACUGGCGAACGGGUGAGUAACACGUAGGUAAUCUACCCUCGGGAUCGGGAUAACCUCGCGAAAGUGGGGAUAAUACCGAAUAAAGUCUCGGUAUAAUUUGUCGAGAUGAAGGAUGGGGAUCUUCGGACCUAUUACCUGAGGAUGAGCCUGCGCCUGAUUAGCUAGUUGGUAGGGUAAAUGCCUACCAAGGCAACGAUCAGUAGCUGGUCUGAGAGGAUGAUCAGCCACAUUGGGACUGAGAUACGGCCCAGACUCCUACGGGAGGCAGCAGUGAGGAAUUUUGCGCAAUGGGCGAAAGCCUGACGCAGCAACGCCGCGUGACUGAUUAAGCUCUGAGGAGUGUAAAAGUCUGUCGUAGAGGAAGAAACUAUCCGAUAAGAAUAUUGUCGGAUACUGACGGUACUCUAUGAGAAAGCUCCGGCUAACUCCGUG
RNAcentral lists this ribosomal RNA (494 nucleotides) under uncultured bacterium. RNAcentral's name for it is "bacterial SSU rRNA". It matches the Rfam family "Bacterial small subunit ribosomal RNA", at positions 33 to 507 of the family's 1533-position model. The record is from RNAcentral.